AGAGCGAACGCUGGCGGCAGGCUUAACACAUGCAAGUCGAGCGGGCGUAGCAAUACGUCAGCGGCAGACGGGUGAGUAACGCGUGGGAACGUACCUUUUGGUUCGGAACAACCCCAGGGAAACUUGGGCUAAUACCGGAUAAGCCCUUACGGGGAAAGAUUUAUCGCCGAAAGAUCGGCCCGCGUCUGAUUAGCUAGUUGGUGAGGUAAUGGCUCACCAAGGCGACGAUCAGUAGCUGGUCUGAGAGGAUGAUCAGCCACAUUGGGACUGAGACACGGCCCAAACUCCUACGGGAGGCAGCAGUGGGGAAUAUGGACAAUGGGCGCAAGCCUGAUCCAGCCAUGCCGCGUGAGUGAUGAAGGCCCUAGGGUUGUAAAGCUCUUUUGUGCGGGAAGAUAAUGACGGUACCGCAAGAAUAAGCCCCGGCUAACUUCGCGCCAGCAGCCGC
RNAcentral lists this ribosomal RNA (448 nucleotides) under uncultured bacterium. RNAcentral's name for it is "SSU rRNA". It matches the Rfam family "Bacterial small subunit ribosomal RNA", at positions 26 to 518 of the family's 1533-position model. The record is from RNAcentral.